This 253-nucleotide ribosomal RNA is filed under the name uncultured bacterium. RNAcentral describes it as "partial 16S ribosomal RNA". It matches the Rfam family "Bacterial small subunit ribosomal RNA", at positions 524 to 776 of the family's 1533-position model. The record is from RNAcentral.
UACGUAGGGGGCAAGCGUUGUCCGGAUUUAUUGGGCGUAAAGAGCGUGUAGGCGGCCUGAAAGGUCAGCUGUGAAAACUCGAGGCUCAACCUCGAGACGUCGGUUGAAACCAUCUGGCUAGAGUCCGGAAGAGGAGUGUGGAAUUCCCGGUGUAGCGGUGGAAUGCGCAGAUAUCGGGAAGAACACCCGUGGCGAAGGCGGCACUCUGGGACGGUACUGACGCUGAGACGCGAAAGCGUGGGGAGCGAACAGG